CUAUCUUUCCGCCCGGGAUAACUAGCCGAAAGGUUAGCUAAUACCAGAUACGCUCAUCGUGCGGCAUCGCACAAUGAUGAAAGCAGUAAUGCGCGGAUUGAGGAGGCUGCGGCCCAUUAGCUAGUUGGUGAGGUAACGGCCCACCAAGGCGACGAUGGGUAGCUGGUCUGAGAGGACGACCAGCCACACUGGGACUGAGACACAGCCCAG
This 210-nucleotide ribosomal RNA is filed under the name uncultured bacterium. RNAcentral's name for it is "partial 16S ribosomal RNA". It matches the Rfam family "Bacterial small subunit ribosomal RNA", at positions 126 to 334 of the family's 1533-position model. The record is from RNAcentral.